UACGUAGGGGGCAAGCGUUGUCCGGAUUUAUUGGGCGUAAAGAGCGUGUAGGCGGUUAUGCAGGUCCGCUGUGAAAACUGGAGGCUUAACCUCCAGACGUCGGUGGAAACCGUAUAACUAGAGUCCGGAAGAGGAGAGUGGAAUUCCUGGUGUAGCGGUGAAAUGCGCAGAUAUCAGGAAGAACACCCGUGGCUAAGGCGGCUCUCUAGUACGGUACUGACGCUGAGACGCGAAAGCGUGGGGAGCGAACAGG
Molecule: ribosomal RNA, 253 nt
Filed under: uncultured bacterium
Lineage: Bacteria
Description: partial 16S ribosomal RNA
Rfam family: Bacterial small subunit ribosomal RNA
Source: RNAcentral